RNAcentral lists this ribosomal RNA (253 nucleotides) under uncultured bacterium. RNAcentral's name for it is "partial 16S ribosomal RNA". It matches the Rfam family "Bacterial small subunit ribosomal RNA", at positions 524 to 776 of the family's 1533-position model. The record is from RNAcentral.
UACGUAGGGUGCGAGCGUUGUCCGGAAUUAUUGGGCGUAAAGGGCUCGUAGGCGGUCUGUCGCGUCGGGAGUGAAAACUCAGGGCUUAACCCUGAGCCUGCUUCCGAUACGGGCAGACUAGAGGUAUGCAGGGGAGAACGGAAUUCCUGGUGUAGCGGUGAAAUGCGCAGAUAUCAGGUGGAACACCGAUGGCGAAGGCAGUGAUCUGGGCCAGUACUGACGCUGAGGAGCGAAAGCGUGGGGAGCGAACAGG